Molecule: ribosomal RNA, 305 nt
Filed under: uncultured bacterium
Lineage: Bacteria
Description: bacterial SSU rRNA
Rfam family: Bacterial small subunit ribosomal RNA
Source: RNAcentral
UGCCCUACGGGGCGCAGCAGUGAGGAAUAUUGGUCAAUGGGCUUACGCCUGAACCAGCCAAGUCGCGUGAGGGAAGACUGCCCUAUGGGUUGUAAACCUCUUUUGUCAGGGAGCAAUUGGCGCUACGUGUAGCGUUAUCGAGAGUACCUGAAGAAAAAGCAUCGGCUAACUCCGUGCCAGCAGCCGCGGUAAUACGGAGGAUGCGAGCGUUAUCCGGAUUUAUUGGGUUUAAAGGGUGCGUAGGCGGAAUGCCAAGUCAGCGGUAAAAUUGCGGGGCUCAACCCCGUCGAGCCGUUGAAACUGGC